Molecule: small nucleolar RNA, 107 nt
Filed under: Termitomyces sp. J132
Lineage: Eukaryota; Fungi; Basidiomycota; Agaricomycetes; Agaricales; Lyophyllaceae
Description: Small nucleolar RNA Z13/snr52
Rfam family: Small nucleolar RNA Z13/snr52
About the family: Z13 or snr52 is a member of the C/D class of snoRNA which contain the C (UGAUGA) and D (CUGA) box motifs.
Source: Rfam by way of RNAcentral
CCCUGUCUGGUGAUGAAAACAAUUACGGAUUAGAGAGUUACGACUCGAGUGUCCGAGAGCGCAAAAAUCAUGUGGAUUUCUCCGUUGCCUUCCUUCUGACCUUCUUA